AGCGAACGCUGGCGGCAGGCCUAACACAUGCAAGUCGAACGAAGUCUUCGGACUUAGUGGCGGACGGGUGAGUAACACGUGGGAACGUACCUUUUGGUUCGGAACAACACAGGGAAACUUGUGCUAAUACCGGAUGAGCCCUUAGGGGGAAAGAUUUAUCGCCAUUAGAGCGGCCCGCGUUGGAUUAGGUAGUUGGUGGGGUAAAGGCCCACCAAGCCUACGAUCCAUAGCUGGUCUGAGAGGAUGAUCAGCCACACUGGGACUGAGACACGGCCCAGACUCCUACGGGAGGCAGCAGUGGGGAAUCUUGCGCAAUGGUCGAAAGACUGACGCAGCCAUGCCGCGUGAAUGAUGAAGGUCUUAGGAUUGUAAAAUUCUUUAGCAG
Molecule: ribosomal RNA, 385 nt
Filed under: uncultured bacterium
Lineage: Bacteria
Description: bacterial SSU rRNA
Rfam family: Bacterial small subunit ribosomal RNA
Source: RNAcentral